UGACUCUACUCAACGCACAGCGUGUGCCUC
RNAcentral lists this non-coding RNA (30 nucleotides) under Rattus norvegicus (Norway rat). The record is from RNAcentral. Lineage: Eukaryota; Metazoa; Chordata; Mammalia; Rodentia; Muridae.